UGGCGGACGGGUGAGUAAUGUCUGGGAAACUGCCCGAUGGAGGGGGAUAACUACUGGAAACGGUAGCUAAUACCGCAUAACGUCGCAAGACCAAAGAGGGGGACCUUCGGGCCUCUUGCCAUCGGAUGUGCCCAUAUGGGAUUAGCUAGUAGGUGGGGUAACGGCUCACCUAGGCGACGAUCCCUAGCUGGUCUGAGAGGAUGACCAGCCACACUGGAACUGAGACACGGUCCAG
RNAcentral lists this ribosomal RNA (235 nucleotides) under uncultured bacterium. Its description in RNAcentral is "partial 16S ribosomal RNA". It matches the Rfam family "Bacterial small subunit ribosomal RNA", at positions 96 to 334 of the family's 1533-position model. The record is from RNAcentral.